GAUGAACGCUGGCGGCGUGCCUAAUACAUGCAAGUAGAACGCUGAAGGAGGAGCUUACUCUUCUGGAUGAGUUGCGAACGGGUGAGUAACGCGUAGGUAACCUGCCUGGUAGCGGGGGAUAACUAUUGGAAACGAUAGCUAAUACCGCAUGACAACAGUUAUUGCAUGAUAACUGUUUAAAAGGGGCAACUGCUCCACUACCAGAUGGACCUGCGUUGUAUUAGCUAGUUGGUGAGGUAACGGCUCACCAAGGCGACGAUACAUAGCCGACCUGAGAGGGGGGUCGGCCACACUGGGACUGAGACACGGCACAGACUCAUACGGGAGGCAGCAGUAGGGAUUCUUGGGCAAUGGGCGGAAGUCUGACCGAGCAACGCCGCGGGAGUGAAGAAGGUUUUCGGAUCGUAAAGCUCUGUUGUAAGAGAAGAACGAGUGUGAGAGUGGAAAGUUCACACUGUGACGGUAUCUUACCAGAAAGGGACGGCUAACUACGUG
This 495-nucleotide ribosomal RNA is filed under the name uncultured bacterium. RNAcentral describes it as "partial 16S ribosomal RNA". It matches the Rfam family "Bacterial small subunit ribosomal RNA", at positions 28 to 507 of the family's 1533-position model. The record is from RNAcentral.